CAGUCGCCGCGGUAAUACGGAGGGUGCAAGCGUUAAUCGGAAUUACUGGGCGUAAAGCGUGCGUAGGCGGUUCGUUAAGUCUGUUGUGAAAGCCCCGGGCUCAACCUGGGACUGGCAAUGGAUACUGGCGAGCUAGAGUGUGUCAGAGGAUGGUGGAAUUCCCGGUGUAGCGGUGAAAUGCGUAGAGAUCGGGAGGAACAUCAGUGGCGAAGGCGGCCAUCUGGGACAACACUGACGCUGAGGCACGAAAGCGUGGGGAGCAAACAGGAUUAGAUACCCCUGUAGUCCCUGUCUCUUAUAC
This 301-nucleotide ribosomal RNA is filed under the name uncultured bacterium. RNAcentral describes it as "partial 16S ribosomal RNA". It matches the Rfam family "Bacterial small subunit ribosomal RNA", at positions 509 to 807 of the family's 1533-position model. The record is from RNAcentral.